This 498-nucleotide ribosomal RNA is filed under the name uncultured bacterium. Its description in RNAcentral is "partial 16S ribosomal RNA". It matches the Rfam family "Bacterial small subunit ribosomal RNA", at positions 30 to 523 of the family's 1533-position model. The record is from RNAcentral.
AUUGAACGCUGGCGGCAUGCCUUACACAUGCAAGUCGAACGGUAACAGGUCUUCGGAUGCUGACGAGUGGCGAACGGGUGAGUAAUACAUCGGAACGUGCCUAGUAGUGGGGGAUAACUACUCGAAAGAGUGGCUAAUACCGCAUGAGAUCUACGGAUGAAAGCAGGGGAUCGCAAGACCUUGUGCUACUAGAGCGGCCGAUGGCAGAUUAGGUAGUUGGUGGGAUAAAAGCUUAACAAGCCGACGAUCUGUAGCUGGUCUGAGAGGACGAUCAGCCACACUGGGAAGGAGACACGGCACAGACUCCUACGGGAGGCAGCAGUGGGGAAUUUUGGACAAUGGGUGAAAGCCUGAUCCAGCAAUGCCGCGUGCAGGAUGAAGGCCUUCGGGUUGUAAACUGCUUUUGUACGGAACGAAAAGCCCUGGGUUAAUACCCUGGGGUCAUGACGGUACCGUAAGAAUAAGCACCGGCUAACUACGUGCCAGCCGCCGCCGUAA